UACGUAGGGUGCGAGCGUUAAUCGGAAUUACUGGGCGUAAAGCGUGCGCAGACGGUUUUGUAAGCCAGAUGUGAAAUCCCCGGGCUUAACCUGGGAAUGGCAUUUGGGACUGCAAGGCUCGAGUGCGGCAGAGGAGACUGGAAUUCCUGGUGUAGCAGUGAAAUGCGUAGAUAUCAGGAGGAACACCGAUGGCGAAGGCAGGUCUCUGGGCUGACACUGACGCUCAUGCAUGAAAGCGUGGGGAGCAAACAGG
This 253-nucleotide ribosomal RNA is filed under the name uncultured bacterium. RNAcentral's name for it is "partial 16S ribosomal RNA". It matches the Rfam family "Bacterial small subunit ribosomal RNA", at positions 524 to 776 of the family's 1533-position model. The record is from RNAcentral.